UACAGAGGUCUCAAGCGUUGUUCGGAAUUACUGGGCGUAAAGGGUCUGUAGGUGGCCAACUAAGUCAGACGUGAAAUCCCUCAGCUUAACUGGGGAACUGCGUCUGAUACUGGAUGGCUUGAGUGCAGGAGAGGAAUGCGGAAUUCCAGGUGUAGCGGUGAAAUGCGUAGAGAUCCGAAGGAACACCAAAGGCGAAGGCAGUGUCCUGGGGAGUACCUGACGCUCAGGUGCGAAAGCCAGGGGAGCGAACGGG
Molecule: ribosomal RNA, 253 nt
Filed under: uncultured bacterium
Lineage: Bacteria
Description: partial 16S ribosomal RNA
Rfam family: Bacterial small subunit ribosomal RNA
Source: RNAcentral